Tyto alba (common barn owl) is the source of this 331-nucleotide long non-coding RNA. RefSeq lists it as uncharacterized. The transcript has 3 exons. The record is from RefSeq and is a predicted model, not a curated record. NCBI's taxonomy places the organism in Eukaryota, Metazoa, Chordata, Aves, Strigiformes, Tytonidae.
GACACUUUCUCCAGUGCAACAAGAGAAUCAUAUUUAUGGCAUUGCUAGGAAUAAGGUUUCAUCCCUUUCAUCUUCACAUAUGUGCCAAAGAGUCAAUGCGGAUGAGAUGAAUGAAAAUAUUUAAACAUAAAAUAACUGACUUUUAAGAGAGGAAGGAUAACACCAGCAGAAGCACCUUUCUUAUUGGCAAUAUUUUUCAAAGUGCUUAUUGCUUAAGCUGAAGAAGAACUGAAGAUGAGAGUAGCGAGGGCCUUUUCAAAUCUUCGUCUGUGUUGCGGAGACCAUGUACCCGUGUCACACAGUCACCUUGUGGGGGUUUGAAGAGCCAGCU